AAUAUUUUAUCCGGGAGCUUGUGGAAGCAAGCUGAGAGUACGACUAGCCGUCGUAGACCGGUUGAACCUGUUGGAUAAUGCCAGCGUAGGGAGUGAAGAGAUAACUAGG
Molecule: non-coding RNA, 109 nt
Filed under: Desulforamulus aeronauticus
Lineage: Bacteria; Bacillati; Bacillota; Clostridia; Eubacteriales; Peptococcaceae
Description: Desulfotomaculum aeronauticum TPP sequence
Rfam family: TPP riboswitch aptamer (THI element)
About the family: Vitamin B(1) in its active form thiamin pyrophosphate (TPP) is an essential coenzyme that is synthesised by coupling of pyrimidine and thiazole moieties in bacteria. The previously detected thiamin-regulatory element, thi box was extended, resulting in a new, highly conserved RNA secondary structure, the THI element, which is widely distributed in eubacteria and also occurs in some archaea.
Source: RNAcentral